RNAcentral lists this transfer RNA (75 nucleotides) under Candidatus Woesearchaeota archaeon. RNAcentral describes it as "tRNA-Arg". It matches the Rfam family "tRNA". From Rfam's summary of the family: Transfer RNA (tRNA) molecules are approximately 80 nucleotides in length. Their secondary structure includes four short double-helical elements and three loops (D, anti-codon, and T loops). The record is from RNAcentral. RNAcentral also lists the same sequence under 1 other name. Lineage: Archaea; Nanobdellati; Candidatus Woesearchaeota.
GCACCCGUAGCUCAGCUUGGAUAGAGCACUUGCCUCCUAAGCAAGGGGUCGGGGGUUCGAAUCCCCUCGGGUGCG